RNAcentral lists this ribosomal RNA (301 nucleotides) under uncultured bacterium. RNAcentral's name for it is "partial 16S ribosomal RNA". It matches the Rfam family "Bacterial small subunit ribosomal RNA", at positions 509 to 808 of the family's 1533-position model. The record is from RNAcentral.
CAGUCGCCGCGGUAAUACGUAGGUGGCAAGCGUUGUCCGGAAUUAUUGGGCGUAAAGGGCUCGCAGGCGGUUUCUUAAGUCUGAUGUGAAAGCCCCCGGCUCAACCGGGGAGGGUCAUUGGAAACUGGGAAACUUGAGUGCAGAAGAGGAGAGUGGAAUUCCACGUGUAGCGGUGAAUGCGUAGAGAUGUGAAGGAACACCAGUGGCGAAGGCGACUCUCUGGUCUGUAACUGACGCUGAGGAGCGAAAGCGUGGGGAGCGAACAGGAUUAGAUACCCCCGUAGUCCCUGUCUCUUAUACA